This 108-nucleotide non-coding RNA is filed under the name Mumia flava. RNAcentral describes it as "TPP sequence". It matches the Rfam family "TPP riboswitch aptamer (THI element)". From Rfam's summary of the family: Vitamin B(1) in its active form thiamin pyrophosphate (TPP) is an essential coenzyme that is synthesised by coupling of pyrimidine and thiazole moieties in bacteria. The previously detected thiamin-regulatory element, thi box was extended, resulting in a new, highly conserved RNA secondary structure, the THI element, which is widely distributed in eubacteria and also occurs in some archaea. Lineage: Bacteria; Bacillati; Actinomycetota; Actinomycetes; Propionibacteriales; Nocardioidaceae. The record is from Rfam by way of RNAcentral.
UCACGUCCACGCGGGAGCCCAGGCACGGGCUGAGAGGGGGCUGACGCCGCCCCGACCGCCGAACCUGAUCCGGGUCAUGCCGGCGAAGGGAGUCGGAGUGUCGCCGUC